Molecule: non-coding RNA, 58 nt
Organism: Salmo salar (Atlantic salmon)
Lineage: Eukaryota; Metazoa; Chordata; Actinopteri; Salmoniformes; Salmonidae
Source: Rfam
UGGGUCAGUUGGUAGAGCAUGGUGUUUGCAACGCCAGGGUUGUGGGUUCGAUUCCCAC